Acipenser ruthenus (sterlet) is the source of this 2050-nucleotide long non-coding RNA. RefSeq lists it as uncharacterized. Lineage: Eukaryota; Metazoa; Chordata; Actinopteri; Acipenseriformes; Acipenseridae. The transcript has 2 exons. The record is from RefSeq and is a predicted model, not a curated record.
ACUGAGAAUCUCACAUCCUUGUAUCUUUUACAUAUAGCCAGGCACGAUUUACUGAACUGGCUUUAUUCUAUGUUUUGCUUUCACAUGAAUUUUAAGUGACAAAGAGACAGCCGUUUUAUAUCUGUUGUGGUUUUUCAGAGACACUGCUGAAUAAGUAAUCACUGUUCCAUGGACAGAAUUUGUCCCAUCUAGCUGGUUGGGGUCCUUUGGGUGAGAUGCUCUGGUUAGACCAUGUCAUGAAUCAGGAAUACAUCCCAACCAUUCGCUGGCUACGACUGCACUGCUGUGACACUGCACCUGGGAGGAGGAAGACCAUGCUUACUUAUCCAUGUUAUCCACAGUGACCCCAGCCACACUGAAAGCAUUCUCCAAUCCCCUGCUACUAUCGUAAAAUGUUGAGUCACCUUGAGGUUCAAGCAGAAAGUGAUACAGCGACAUAUUAGGAAGGUUGAUGAACUUCGCUGUUCGACACAAGGCAAGCUGGACCAACUGAGGCAAAGCAACUGGAAUGUUUGUCUUCCGGCCUGCAGUGAACUACAAAGUGCCAUGAGAAUGUCUUUUUAAGGUCUCCAUUGCUACCAUUCAUGAUGAAAAUACUGAAACUACAGUAUAAUGCAGCUUCAAUGUAUCUUCUACUGAAUGAGCAUUACAGAUGUUCUGCAGCAAUGUUUGAGUUCAAAAUAGGAUUAGUAGACAUUUCUUGGGAUGUAGAGGAAUCAGCUGAUCUAAAUGCUUUUAAAUAUCUUUCUAAUACUGAUGAGGUAGGUCCCUGUCGUAUUUAAACUGCCCCCUUCCCCCUUUAAGUAAGAUCCUGGCAACACACUCAAGCCUUAAUAACAAUGAUAAUAAUAAUUCAAAGCUUCUUGGACAGCUGUAGAUGUGUGCUUUCAGUGGCUGAUUAUGUAAUUCGCUAUACUUCAGUAGUCAUCUGAUGACCGCUCUAUUAGAAACCUUUUCAUUGUAGCCUUACUGUGAGGGUGCAUGUUAGAAUUUCACUGAACGCUUAGCUACACCUGGCAUAAUUAUAAUAAAUAUAUAUAUUUUUUUUAUUUCUUAGCAGACGUACAAUUGUUACAAGAUAUCACAUUAUACAUUAUACAGAUAUCAUAUUAUUUUACAUACAAUUACCCAUUUAUACUGGAGCAAUCUAGGUAAAGUACCUUGCUCAAGGGUACAACAGCAGUGUCCCCCACUGGGGAUUGAACCCACAACCCUUCAGUCAAGAGUCCAGAGCCCUAACCACUACUCCAAACUGCUGCCCUAUAGAUUAAGAUGAAUACAUAACACUGAUAUCUAAUGUGUAACACAAAGGCUGUAUUUACAUAAUGUGUCUGGGGACUUGCGGGGAGUGCUGGAUUGGCUUGUGCCUUCCACAGGAAUAGGCUAGUACAGUAUGUUUAAUCUUGCUCCAGCAACCAAUACUGGUCACACUCUCCCAUUCUGGCCUUUGCCGCCAGGGUUUGGUAGUUUGGUAACAUCCGUUUUUUAUGUUUGGCAGGCAAAAUUAAUUGUGCAACCCCAUGAGUGGAGCUUAUAAGUGUGUGCAAAUUCUCUACCACUCAGACUGCUGCUAAUAUUUCAUAAACAAUUUAAUCUGGCACCUUCCUAGUUUCAGUCUUAUGUAAACUCCUCGAGCAAAAUCUAACAGCAUCCUUCACUUUUGACCUAAGAUUACCGCUUAUUUGGGGUCAUGUGACAUUGGCUUGAUACUUGGUUAUAUUCUGUGAUUCUCUUGGUCAGAUUUGAUUGUGGGUGUUGAAGUAGAAAAAUUAAACCUUUUUCUAUUUUUUAUUUUUUUUAUUUUUUACAACGUUGCCACAGGGCCAAAGCCUUGUAUCUCAGACUCCAAUGUUUGAUACACAGCUGUAUUCUAUGAUUUUCUUAAGUUCUGUUACCAGUGAUCACCAGUAAAAAUCCACCCUUGAUACAGACAACAUAGCGUCUUUAUAGCGUCUCUCUCUCUCUCUCUCUCUCUCUCUCUCUCUCUCUCUCUCUCUCUCUCUCUCUCUCUCUCUCUCUCUCUCUCUCUCUCUCUCUCUCUCUCGAUAUA